RNAcentral lists this long non-coding RNA (929 nucleotides) under Dasypus novemcinctus (nine-banded armadillo). Its description in RNAcentral is "lncRNA (ENSDNOG00000052539.1)". The record is from RNAcentral. Lineage: Eukaryota; Metazoa; Chordata; Mammalia; Cingulata; Dasypodidae.
CCUAGUUGUCCCACGUGGACGUUCCUCAGUAUUCGGCGAAGGCGGCUCAGAGCCGACCCCCGCGGGGCUCGCUGGAGAGGAGGGUCUGCUGGGAGCCACAGAUCCGCGGCCGCCCCGGCGUCCGCCUAGGGCGGGGGCGGGUCCGGCCCAUGGACGUCACAUCCGGUGUACACAGCCGGUCGGGGCGGUACGCAGGAGGCCGGGGCGCGACGCAGGAAAUGACUUAGAGGCCUUAGAAAUACAUCUGUGCAUUCUUGCUUCAGACUUUACAAUUAAGGGCCAACUCAUUCUGGAAGCACCUCUUAUUAAUAUUACAAGGAAACUGCUACCUCAGCCAACAAAAGGAAAAGAGGAGAAGACUUACAAUAACAAACGCGAGUUUUUAAAAAGAGUUGUUUUCAGAAAACAUUAGAGGAAAUCUGGAAAUUUUCAGCAUUAAGAAGAAGCUUUACAGGGAUAUUUGGGUUUGGCAGGCAGGCUCUGUCAAAAUUCUGCAGAGGUUUCAUCUUCUUAAAGGGCUCAGUGUGAAGUAAUUCUGUACUGCUUUUUAAAUUGCUGUUGAUCAGCAUGUGGAUUUUUGGGUUCUAACUUUUCUGGUAUAUUGAAGACACAUGAUAUUACAUAUAAUACCUUAUAUUACAUUUUUAAAACUUAAGUUAUUUUUCUGUCAUUGUAAAUAGAAGUAUCAAGAUAUUCUUGCAAGCAAUUAUAUGUAAACAUUUUUCUCAGCAAGCAUAUCUUUUUAUUAAGAGAGUGGAAUGCUAAACAGUUCUUACACAGCAUUUUGGAUACACUUUUAUUUUACGUCAAAGACCUUGCCAAUACUGAAAAAUUAACUAUGUAAACCUGUUGUCUUUCUCAAACCUAUGUUGAAUCUCAUGGUCACCUGCCUCAUGGAAAUGCCUUUUUUAAAAUGUAGGUUUGUAGCA